This 693-nucleotide ribosomal RNA is filed under the name Triticum aestivum (bread wheat). Its description in RNAcentral is "partial small subunit ribosomal RNA". Lineage: Eukaryota; Viridiplantae; Streptophyta; Magnoliopsida; Poales; Poaceae. The record is from RNAcentral.
AUGCACUCAUGGAUGAAUGAUGUGGUCGGCGACUUGUGUACGGAAGGCCUUACCCAAUUUAUAGGCCUUUGGGAGAUCCUUGAGGAGGUGCAUCUGGAUGAGCAGUCCGAGGACAGUCCCAUUUGGGCUUGGAAUGCGUCGGGGACUUACACCGCAUCCUCUGCAUACAAGAUGCUAUGUGAGGGAGGAGUUAGAUUCCACUCCUUUGGAGCUAUUUGGAAGUGCUGGGGCCCUCUGGCGUGCAAAAUCUUCAUGUGGCUGGCGGUCCAAUAUCGGCUAUGGACUUCCGACAGAAGAGUGAGGCAUAACCUACAAGAUCAAAUUUCUCAAUGCUUUCUUUGUGACCAAGAGGAGGACACGGUGGACCACAUUUUGCUGCAAUGUGUGUUCUCGAGGCAAGUUUGGUUCACUUGCAUUCUUAGGAUGGGGUUGCCCACGGAGCUUUGCCCAACAUAUGAUUCUAGAUUGGUGCAUUGGUGGUCGGACACUAGAAAGCGUUUUCUUAAGCACUCUAGAAAGGGGUUUGAUUCUUUUGUCAUGCUCAUCUGUUGGACGUUAUGGAAACAAAGGAAUGCGAGGGUGUUUGGUUCGGGCCAGAUCAAGAGUGAACAAGACACGGUAGACACGAUCUUCGACGAGCUGAGGAUGUGGGCCACGGCAGGAGCUUUUGGAGAGCAAUGUGUGAUUGAGUAG